UUAGUUGAGUUGAGUUGAGUUAUAAGUUUCGCAAUCUUGCUUUCAUGUUGUUUGAGAUCAUAAUUUUCUGCUAUUAUCAUCCUAGAUUGUGGUUUUCUUUUUGCAAUAUUGUUUUUUACUAAUAUUUUUCAAUAAAUUAUUGGUAUGUGCCAAAUCUUACACCUAUUUAUCAACAUUUUAUAAGUUUAUAUUAAUCAUCUAUACUAGUUUUAUCUAUUUUAUUGAACCUUUUUUUUUCCUGAGUUAUGUAAGCA
RNAcentral lists this unclassified non-coding RNA (254 nucleotides) under Hevea brasiliensis (rubber tree). The record is from RNAcentral. Lineage: Eukaryota; Viridiplantae; Streptophyta; Magnoliopsida; Malpighiales; Euphorbiaceae.